Molecule: ribosomal RNA, 492 nt
Filed under: uncultured bacterium
Lineage: Bacteria
Description: partial 16S ribosomal RNA
Rfam family: Bacterial small subunit ribosomal RNA
Source: RNAcentral
AGUGAACGCUGGCGGUAGGCCUAACACAUGCAAGUCGAACGGCAGCACAUUAAGAGCUUGCUCUUACGGGCGGCGAGUGGAGGACGGGUGAGGAAUACAUCGGAAUCUACUUUUUCGUGGGGGAUCACGUAGGGAAACUUACGCUACUACCGCAAACGACCUACGAGUGAAAGCAGGGGAUCUUCGGACUUUGCGCGAUUGAAUGAGCCGAUGUCGGAUUAGCUUGUUGGCGGGGUAAAGGCCAACCAAGGCGACGAUACGUAGCUGGUCUGAAAGGAUAAGCAGCGACACUGGAACGGGGGCGCGUACCAGACUCCUACGAGAGGCAGCAGUGGGGAAUAUUGGACGAUGGGCGCAAGGCUGAUCCUGCCAUACCGCGUGGGUGAAGGAGGCCGUCAGGUUGUAUAGCUCUUUUGUUGGGAAAGAAAAGCAGCAGGUUAAUACCCCGCGAUUCUGACGGUACCAAAAGAAUAAGAACCGGCUAACUUCGUG